UGAGUUUUUGUUCUUGUUUUUGGAGGAUUUCCAAAACAAGGAAAGGUUGAUCCGAACCUGAAAUCGGAGUGUUUUGGGUUUACUUGUACCCGAAAAAUAAGUGAUCUAGCUUGGGAUAGCUAGUGUCGGAGUUUCCGACGUUUUGUAUUCGGGUUGAAUACAAAGGAUAGUGGAUUGAAAUUCCCAAGUAGAAUCUUGGGGUGUGGAUGUAGGUGCAAGGUUAGCACCGAACCACUAUAAAUUCUUGUGUUUGUGGUGUGCUUUAUUGCUUUAUCUUAUUUCUUUAUUAUAUCCUUGCAAUACUGCUUUAGGUAAUUAAUAUUGAUUUAAAGUCUUAGUUUUGUUCUUCAUAAGUAAUCAGUUGGGCUUAAAAUUUUUAGAA
RNAcentral lists this long non-coding RNA (382 nucleotides) under Elaeis guineensis (African oil palm). RNAcentral describes it as "long non-coding RNA (EGUI_LNC008190)". Lineage: Eukaryota; Viridiplantae; Streptophyta; Magnoliopsida; Arecales; Arecaceae. The record is from RNAcentral.